CCAGGGUUCCUGCCUCUGAGAGAUUUUAGUAAGAGAGAUGAUCCGAGAGGCUGGCUGUGAGCUUGCAGCAGGGAUGCAAUCUAAUUUAAAUCACAGGACAUUCCAAGCCUUAUAUUGCCUCUAUUUUUGGAGAACUUUCAGCCAUCACAUGGAGCUGGAGUUUUGCACCAAUUGCACAGGCCACCACGGAUACUCUCUCUUGUCCUGACCCUCCUGCUGUGGAAGAAAAACAAUUUGCCCUGCUUGAGGCUAGAGCCAGCAGCACCUCUUUGAAUCCAUUCCUCAUCUUCUCAGGAACUGAAGAGUAUUGAUCAUCCCUUCUCUCUUGUUUAUUUACCUCUCUCCAAAUCCUGGCUGCUAGAAAUGGCUUUCAAUUUGCUCAUCCUUUUUCUCUUAAACACAAAACAAAAGCUAACUGAAAACCGACACAAAGAACUUCCCUGAAACACAUCCCUCCCCAGCUCUCAUACCUGCCUCUCCUUCAUAGCAAAUAGCAAGCAGCGUGGACCCAUUUCCCUUGUUCAGCCCUGAUGCCCAAGGACGGGCCAUCA
This 551-nucleotide long non-coding RNA is filed under the name Ictidomys tridecemlineatus (thirteen-lined ground squirrel). RNAcentral describes it as "lncRNA (ENSSTOG00000034080.1)". Lineage: Eukaryota; Metazoa; Chordata; Mammalia; Rodentia; Sciuridae. The record is from RNAcentral.